GACAGCAGGAGAGACGCCGUGGUCCGCCCCUGCAGAGGCCUGGGGCUCACGCACCUCGGUCAGGCACUCCAACCUGGUUCUUCAAAGACGCCCCUGGGAGUGGGUGGCCUGUUCUCAGUGUCUCCCCGGCCUGACAGAUCCAGCCUGUGUAGCCACAGUAAGGCUGCACAAGCUGCCAGAACUUCAGACCUUUUCACUUUUGCCUGAAAUGGAUUAUUAACAGGCUGGGUGAGUCUGUCAUUGCCAAGUAACUAGAAACCUGACUUGGCAACAGGGGCCUCUUUGAUUAAUACCAAACAGGCAGUCAGUGAAUCAUUUGAUUAAAUAGAGCUAAUUUGGUGGAUAGGUGAAAAUCUCUCAAAGAUAGGAUGGGACAAUAAAAGGAGAGCUUGGUGGGGAGAGAGAGGGAAAUAUGCUUUCAGGAUUUUAUCGGUAGAGCAUUUCAGCUUUCCUGAAUUCAGGCCAUAAAAAGCACCCUCAGGAGAUCCCUUCAGGCAAAACACAAGGCCCUUCCUAAGGGGGAAAGAGUGAAAUUAAUGGCCUGAACUACCACCCUCCAGCCUGCUUUAAAAGGUCAAAUUGUGGCUUCAUCAAGCAAGCCCGGGCUGGCUUCCAACCACGCUGCUGAAAGAACGAAAUUCUGCUUUUUCAAGACAAAAGAAGAGGAUGAAGAAGGGAAUGUUGUCUGCGGGGAAUUUAACUCCUGGCAGGCCACGAAGUGUUAAAUCCCCUGCUGGAUUCUCUGCCUUGUAUUUGUUUAAUGCGUCUUGCUGAUGAGGCCAUAAGGAGCACUAGGAGAAACAGCAGGCAGCUCCCAGCUCGUGCUGAGGUGCAGCGAGCCUUUCCACCACGAGAUGGCAGCACGAGCCUGCAUUUGAAGCAAGGGCUGUACCUGAGGGCCGCAAGCUGCACCGCCCCCACCGCCACCCCAAGAGCAUGGAGGGAUCUACCAUUUGCCUUCCUGAGAUGACUGGCUUGAAGAACUGCAAGGAAUGCUUGUAUCUACAUGAAGCUCGGAGCACUGGGCUCCAGGCCCUGCAGGGGCCAUGUGGUGGAUUGCCUCGACCUGGAUCCUGAGGAUGUGGAAGCUCUGCUGGAAACUCACCAAGGGCUUUGGUGCGUCUGAAAGGAUACAUGGGAGACAAGGAGGUGAAUGGAGCUGUGAGAAUGAAGGAUACAGAUACUGCCUACAAGAUUCAGUUUGACAGAGAGCAUGCUGAUGUGGAAUGGAGGCGUCUUGGUUGUGUUUGGGGCUUCAAUUCAUGGUGUUCGUGAGCUUCACGCUUCAGCUGCCUGUUCCCACUUGGCCUCACAAAUGUGCUCUGGUCCUAUCUCUGCCAAGAAGCUUCUCCUCAAUAUUGAAGCCCACAGUGAUCCCUCAUCUCUGAAAGCCUACACCUGAAGGUCUGUAUCCAGAGACUGUGACUUCUGAAAUCAAAAUCUCAGCUAGAUUAAAAUGGAUUAUGCUUGGAUCCCAGAAAAGCCUGCAUGCUAACUGGAAGUAUAAACUGUUCAUUCUGCAAUUAUUUCCUGCCAUAAGCAUAUUCUCCCCAACCAAAACAAUAAGCUACACAUAGAAAGCUUUGUGUUAUAUGUUUUUGAUAUCCAGAAAGCAUGUUAUUUGAGUCUUGGCAUAAAGUAAGCACUCCAUAUGUUGAUUUGUAUGGAGCAAGCCACUCUUUUCAAUCUGUACAUUGACUGAUUCAUAUGAAAAAAAAAAUCUAUCAUUGUUUAGCCUAUUCCAAAUCUUGGCAGUCUUAAUCACAAGAACAGAGUUAGACCUAAGAAUAUGAGAGGUCCCAGGCCUCUUCCUGGUCCCAGGAGGACUUUGGGCUAGCACUUUAACAGGAGUUCAGUGUCUCCCAGAGGGCAACACUCAAAGCAUCUUAAAAGCAAGGGAUGGAAUAGCAGUGGAUUGCAUGGAGACAGACCAGAGGACACCUGAGAUGCCUUUCCCCAUCACUGCCCCAUCUCCCAGAUACAGAUGUGUGAGAGUCUGCAGCAUCCUUUCUGAUUUAGGCAGUGACCAAAUAACCCUGCCUGUUAGUGGGAUGGUCACUCCAUUCUACUCCAUUUUCUGAGCACUCAAACAGAGGAAGAGUAAAGUAUUCUGGCCAUGUUUCUAGAGAGCUCACAAAUUAAAAACCUUAAGGCUUUCUGGAGUUCCCAAAGCCAAACCAGAAAAGCUGAAAGAUGACUGGUAUGAUUAAUACAUUUAUCAGCACUAGGACAUUGUUAUUUUAUUGCUGGUAUCAGAGUGACAUCAUUUUUCAUAAAGACACCAUAAUUGUCUUUGAAUGUCAUAAAAGGUGAAAUUCAUUCUCAUGGAAAUUGAAGAGAACAUUACAAAGGCUUCCGUCAAAGGGGAACUAAAUGAUUUAGAUAAUAAAAUAUACUGGCUUUAAAUUUCUGUCUGUAAACCAGGAGUGAAACCACAGAGAAUUAGGCUUGAGAUGAAGAUUGUAAUAACCUGGAAUUAGUUUGGGCAUCCCUCUAAUCUCGUUUUUUCAUGGACUACAGCUAUUCAUUGGGAAAUCUGUUUUCUUUCACUGGCCAAUAUUUCAGCUGUCUACUUUCCAAAUGAAAAUACUAGAAGGGGGAAGAGAUGAAGAUACUAACUUAAAUAUAUCUUAUUGGAGAUGGCAAAAGCAACUCACUUCUCACUAAAGCACACAAAACUCAAGAUAUAAAGCAAACUUAUAUACAUAAGACCUUUGCUCAAAAUAUUUAUCUUCUUGUCUGCUAAGUGGUCAGAAUUUCUUAAGGACAAAUCCUAGAACCAUCACAUACAAAUUCGUUUUUCAACAGGCUGAGAUGAUGAAAGCUGGACAAAUAUUUAGGAAUUCCUUGCUAUUAUGUUAUAUGUCAAACUUCCUUCCUUUUCCACCCCCACCUCAAUAUGAACCCACUGGAAAUUCCUUCUGCUGCCAAGAGCCUUAGAAAACCUUUACAUUAUUAAUUUUUCCAUGGAUUUGUCGUGUUUUGGAAGCCUCACAAGAAGCUGAGUGCAGAGUUUGAGGGCAAUAAAACAGUCAGAACAAAUGGCAAGCCUUUCAGUUUGGCACUGCAGAAUGGAGCAUGCAUCUGUGCAUUCCUCUCUGUGCGGCUGGAAGGCUGGAAACGUCUCAGAUUUGGCUUUUGGUUUAUGUUACUCAGGCAAAUGGUCUUUCAGUUAUUCUAUGAGGGGAAGCCCUUUAGAAGAAAGGCAAUAUUCGAGGGGAAGGAUGGAGGAAGGGACAGUUAGGGAGUUUGGGAUCGACAUGUACACACUGCUAUAUUUAAAACGGAUAACCAACAAGGACCUGCUGUAUAGCUCAGAGAACUCUGCUCAAUGUUAUGUGGCAGCCUGGAUAUGAGGAGAGUUUGGGGGAGAAUGGAUACCUGUAUAUGUGUGGCUGAGUCCCUUCACUGCUCCCCUGAAACUAGCACAACAUUGUUAACCAACUGUAUUCUAAUACAAAACAGCUUUUGAAAAGAUUUAAAGAAAAUAAAGACAACAUUAUAGGCCAGUGAUUCUCAAUUUCCAAGUGCAUAGAUAUCUUGCUAAAUGCAUUUUCUGAUUCAUUAGGUCUGUGUGUAGAGCCUAAGACUCUGCAUUCCUAGCAAACUCCCAGAUGAUGCUCAUGAUGCAGGUUCAUGGACCACACUUUGAAACGAAAGGGGUUAGCAAAACAUAGGGUUGACUCACCCUAUGGGCUGCCCUGGUGGCUCAAUGGUUAAAAACCCACCUGCCAAUGUAAGAGACAUGGGUUCAAUCCCUGUGUUGGGAAGAUUCCCUGGAGAAGGAAAUGGCAACCCACUCCAGUAUUCUUGCCUGAGAGAUCUCAUGGACAGAGGAGCCUGGCGGGCUACAGUCCAUGGGAUCGCAAAAAAGGAGUUGGACACAAUUUAGCGACUAAACAAAUCGCCCUAUACCAGCAAUUUAAUCAAUGCUUACGUUUGACUUAAAUUUGAAAUUAGUCCAACUCACAAUGUUUGUGAAAAUAAAACCCAUUUGAUUUACCAUUUGAGGCCAGUAUUUACUGAGAAAUAAAAUAGGUUAUCAACGAACCCAGGAAAUGAGCUGGGUGUAAAACAAAGAAUUCUUUGGUCUUUUACUUAAGCAUUUUUCAUUCUCACUUUGCAACUGUAUAUUUUGCUUCCUUGUUAAAAGUAGCUAAUGCCAGUUUUAUCUUGCCUUUUUAUUAACAAGCUUAUCUUCACCAAGCACAAAUCAGUCCCAGAAAUGUCACUGCAGCUCAUGUGCAUCAGGCACAAGGAUUAGAUAGGGGAGAGCUUGGCAUGGCCUGUUUUCUUUUGCUCACCCGAAAGGAAUCUCAUGCUCAGUUCCAAGCCAGAUGUCAUUUGGGGUGAUAUUAUAUAGAAAUUCCAGUAAUUAAACUCACUAAACUAUGACCAGCUGGUAUUAACCCUCUUGUUAGGUCACAGAUUGCUUCCUUCUCUUUUGUUUGAAAAUAUAUCUAAGAGCUCCUCUGUGUUCUGAAUUAGUUACAAGUUCUCAGAAAAAUGACCUCCAAAGGCAUGAGUUUGGCAUGCCGUAGUGAUCAGAGAGGGAUUUGUGUGUGUGUGUGUGUGUGUGUGCUGUCCGUGGGUGAACGCACAUACCAGGCUAAAUGUGUUAAGGCAAAACUUGUAAAGCCUGAAUUUCAGAUGUUGGUGCAGAAAUGUUAGCAUCAGAACCUAAAGAGAGCAUCUUUCUUGGGGGCU
Molecule: long non-coding RNA, 4707 nt
Organism: Bubalus bubalis (water buffalo)
Lineage: Eukaryota; Metazoa; Chordata; Mammalia; Artiodactyla; Bovidae
Exons: 3
Source: RefSeq, a predicted model, not a curated record